RNAcentral lists this ribosomal RNA (292 nucleotides) under uncultured bacterium. RNAcentral's name for it is "partial 16S ribosomal RNA". It matches the Rfam family "Bacterial small subunit ribosomal RNA", at positions 505 to 796 of the family's 1533-position model. The record is from RNAcentral.
GUGUCAGCAGCCGCGGUAAUACAGAGGUCUCAAGCGUUGUUCGGAUUCAUUGGGCGUAAAGGGUGCGUAGGUGGCGCCAUAAGUCAGGUGUGAAAUCUCGGGGCUUAACUCCGAAACUGCAUUUGAUACUGUGGUGCUUGAGGACUGGAGAGGAGACUGGAAUUCACGGUGUAGCAGUGAAAUGCGUAGAUAUCGUGAGGAAGACCAGUGGCGAAGGCGGGUCUCUGGACAGUUCCUGACACUGAGGCACGAAGGCCAGGGGAGCAAACGGGAUUAGAUACCCCGGUAGUCC